Molecule: long non-coding RNA, 743 nt
Filed under: Elaeis guineensis (African oil palm)
Lineage: Eukaryota; Viridiplantae; Streptophyta; Magnoliopsida; Arecales; Arecaceae
Description: long non-coding RNA (EGUI_LNC031762)
Source: RNAcentral
GACUGCUGUAGUUGAGCUUAAUGGGCAGUAGAUUUGGUUAAAAGAUGGCUCCCUAAUUGUUGUUGCAUGGAUCUCUGACCCUUCUAUUCAUAGGCAUAGGCAUGUUCCUUUUCUCAAAGACUUGUUGGCUCGGAGGGCAACUUGAUUUUGUUUUAAGGUGGCUCACAUUUAUGGAGACGCUAACCAGGCUGCAGAUUAUAUGGCAAACAAAGCCUUGCAAAGAGAUAUUAUAUGAUUUGCUGAGUCUAUUAUUGAUUUGCAUGUUUCUUACAUUCUACAGGCUGAUGGGUAUUGUGGUCUUUAUCCAAGGAGGGCAUGAAACAAUCAUGUAUGUUGUUGUCAGUUCAAAGUUCCUUUUAGUAUCAUGACAGGCUCUGCAACUAUGCUAUAUUGUAUCAGUUAUCUGCCUAUUGCUGAUGUUUUUCUUCAUGCACAUAUUCAUGCUUCUAUGGUUGUGGUUUCAUGCUUGGGGUCUCUUUUUAUUCUAAGUAUGCAUCUCAUAGUUUUUCAAUAUUUUAAUGUCACUGCAUAGAUCUCUAGUCAAGUUGGCGGCUAGAAUGGUUUCUUUCUCCUUCAUUUAGUUGGGUCCAGAGCUCAUCGCACUAUCAUUAUUGAUGUAUUGCAUCUUUACAAUAUUAUCAGGAUGUAUUGUUAUUACUGCAUUCCCCUAUACGUUCUGCAUCUCUUCUUUCUUAUAAUACUUGGUUAAUGACACUAGAAGCAAGCUUUUGGCAAUAUUGUUG